This 438-nucleotide long non-coding RNA is filed under the name Homo sapiens (human). Its description in RNAcentral is "LHRI_LNC1707.1". Lineage: Eukaryota; Metazoa; Chordata; Mammalia; Primates; Hominidae. The record is from RNAcentral.
GCGUAUGCCGCUGGAGCGCGCUGAGCGUGUGCCGGGGGCUGGGCCUAAGUUCUCCCCAACCCUUGCCAGCCGAGUUGGAUAAGAGGGGGUCGGGAGAAAAUAGAGCCCUGAUCCCCCCUCCUCCCUAGGGCCCAGAGAAUCGGUGUGCAUGCGUGUGUGCGCGCACGCGCGUGUGUGUGACGGGUGGUGGUCGGGGAAUGUCUCAAGCUAGAAGUCCCAGGUUUUAGGGGUUUAAGUGGAGCUGGGAGACCCGCUUUCCUCCCACACCAGGCGCAGACGCCGAGGCACAGCUCCGCCAGCCGCCCCGCCUUUACCUGGCGGGAUACUCACCUCUCCUCCUUCCUGGGGAGGCCACCGCCUCCCUCUCCCCCUUCUGCCCUGGGCUGGUUCCCAGCGAGGUGAGUGACCGGCACAAGUAGGGAAGGAGGAAGCGAGUUU